UGGGGAAUUUUGGACAAUGGGCGCAAGCCUGAUCCAGCAAUGCCGCGUGUGUGAAGAAGGCCUUCGGGUUGUAAAGCACUUUUGUCCGGAAAGAAAACGUCGUGGUUAAUACCCGUGGCGGAUGACGGUACCGGAAGAAUAAGCACCGGCUAACUACGUGCCAGCAGCCGCGGUAAUACGUAGGGUGCAAGCGUUAAUCGGAAUUACUGGGCGUAAAGCGUGCGCAGGCGGUUCGCUAAGACAGAUGUGAAAUCCCCGGGCUUAACCUGGGAACUGCAUUUGUGACUGGCGGGCUAGAGUAUGGCAGAGGGGGGUAGAAUUCCACGUGUAGCAGUGAAAUGCGUAGAGAUGUGGAGGAAUACCGAUGG
Molecule: ribosomal RNA, 368 nt
Filed under: uncultured bacterium
Lineage: Bacteria
Description: bacterial SSU rRNA
Rfam family: Bacterial small subunit ribosomal RNA
Source: RNAcentral